ACUAUCACGAGAACAACACGGGAAAACUGUCCCCAUAAUCAAGUCAUUUCUCUCCCUAACAAGUGAGGAUUACAAUUCAAGAUGAGGUUUGGGUAGGAACACAAAGCCUGACCCUAUCCCACAGCAUGUCCAGGCUGCCCUAGCACCACCCAAUAGAAGGGAAAAUGGCAGAGGGAAAGUCCUAGUGGAAAGAGACCUCAGUCUCAGCUAAUUGUGGUGACAAUAUAUUGCUUUUGCAAAUUGUACAUAAACAUAUGACCAGGUGAAUGUAUCGCCAAGGCUCCUGCCAAGGCCUGGGAUGGAGGCCUAGAGAAGAUGCCCGAAAGUUUAUGCUGUGUGAGCUUCACAGAAGACCUGCCUUCCAUGUAUACCCAUUUUACAGGUGUCUGUGCGGUGCAGAAACUGUACAACUGUAUACAGUGACCAUUUCUACUCUGGGUCUCUAAACAAGGGCUGGUAUCGUUACAGAGACUGAAGACUGAGGAAGACCAUCUCUGUAGGAUGCCAAGGAUUGACUGGAGAAAGUCUGGGUUGGAGAAGAAUGAAGUGCACAUCAACCAAACAGAAGAGAAGCAAUUUGGAGGAGGAAAAAAUCAGUUCUUCAUGAAAGGAUCACAUUGAUCUUGGUUCAUCCCAGUGCCUCCUCUGCAGAC
Molecule: long non-coding RNA, 653 nt
Filed under: Homo sapiens (human)
Lineage: Eukaryota; Metazoa; Chordata; Mammalia; Primates; Hominidae
Description: HSALNT0326134
Source: RNAcentral